AGUGAACGCUGGCGGCGUGCUUAACACAUGCAAGUCGAACGAGAACGGGCUAUAGCUUGCUAUAGUUGUCAGCUAAGUGGCGCACGGGUGAGUAAUGUAUAGGUAAUAUGCCUCUUACUAAGGGAUAACAAAUGGAAACGUUUGCUAAUACCUUAUACUCCUUAUUACCAGAAGUUAAUAAGGGAAAGAUUUAUUGGUAAGAGAUUAGCCUGUAUUGUAUCAGUUAGUUGGUGGGGUAAUGGCUUACCAAGACUAUGACACAUAACUGGGUUGGGAGGAUGAUCAGUCACACUGGAACUGAGACACGGACCAGACUCCUAGGGGAGGCAGCAGUGGGGAAUAUUGCACAAUGGACGAAAGUCUGAUGCAGCAACGCCGCGUGGAGGAUGACACAUUUCGGUGCGUAAACUCCUUUUAUAUGAGAAGAUAAUGACGGUAUUAUAUGAAUAAGCACCGGCUAACUCCGUGCCAGCCGCCGCAGUAA
This 484-nucleotide ribosomal RNA is filed under the name uncultured bacterium. Its description in RNAcentral is "partial 16S ribosomal RNA". It matches the Rfam family "Bacterial small subunit ribosomal RNA", at positions 29 to 523 of the family's 1533-position model. The record is from RNAcentral.